RNAcentral lists this ribosomal RNA (685 nucleotides) under Kitasatospora albolonga. Its description in RNAcentral is "bacterial SSU rRNA". It matches the Rfam family "Bacterial small subunit ribosomal RNA", at positions 61 to 762 of the family's 1533-position model. Lineage: Bacteria; Bacillati; Actinomycetota; Actinomycetes; Kitasatosporales; Streptomycetaceae. The record is from RNAcentral.
GUCGACGAUGAACCGCUUCGGUGGUGGAUUAGUGGCGAACGGGUGAGUAACACGUGGGCAAUCUGCCCUUCACUCUGGGACAAGCCCUGGAAACGGGGUCUAAUACCGGAUAACACUCCUGCCUGCAUGGGUGGGGGUUGAAAGCUCCGGCGGUGAAGGAUGAGCCCGCGGCCUAUCAGCUUGUUGGUGGGGUAAUGGCCUACCAAGGCGACGACGGGUAGCCGGCCUGAGAGGGCGACCGGCCACACUGGGACUGAGACACGGCCCAGACUCCUACGGGAGGCAGCAGUGGGGAAUAUUGCACAAUGGGCGAAAGCCUGAUGCAGCGACGCCGCGUGAGGGAUGACGGCCUUCGGGUUGUAAACCUCUUUCAGCAGGGAAGAAGCGCAAGUGACGGUACCUGCAGAAGAAGCGCCGGCUAACUACGUGCCAGCAGCCGCGGUAAUACGUAGGGCGCAAGCGUUGUCCGGAAUUAUUGGGCGUAAAGAGCUCGUAGGCGGCUUGUCACGUCGGAUGUGAAAGCCCGGGGCUUAACCCCGGGUCUGCAUUCGAUACGGGCUAGCUAGAGUGUGGUAGGGGGAGAUCGGAAUUCCUGGUGUAGCGGUGAAAUGCGCAGAUAUCAGGAGGAACACCGGUGGCGAAGGCGGAUCUCUGGGCCAUUACUGACGCUGAGGAGCGAAAGCGU